AUUCAACCUUAAUAUAUUACUAUUUUCUCUCUCUAAAUAGAAGACCAAAACUCCAUCAAAGUCUUUCCAAGUAUCACCAAAAAUUAGGGAUUUACGAACCUUAGCUAAGAUUUGUUCAAAAACCAGCAUAUUCAGUCGUCUGAUCCCCAAAGUCUAGACGACAGAAGCUCAGUUUGUCUUAACCAAAAAUUCUGGGUGUGAAACAAUCGCGAAUUUGAAAGAACAGAAGUUACAAAAACUUAUCAAAUUCCUUAAAUCAAGCGAUUUAACUUCAUCAGGUACGUUUCCUAAGAAGUCUUAUUUACUUAGUUUAUCCUAUAAAGAAGGUUAUUAUUCACAAUAGUUGAAAUCCCCAAAUAUUUAAAACCCUAGAUUUUAAAAUUUUCAGAUUUACAUUUCCUUGAGCCAUGGUGCGAAUCAAGCAUGCUUCAAAUGACCCUAGGGGUGAUGAACCCGCUCUUGAUGAACCCAACUUGGUUCCAAGGCCACGAUAUUUCAAAACUUUAGAGAUUCCAAAAUGGUGGGUUCCGAAGUUCAAAGAACGGCAUAUCAUAACGGGGCACGAUUUCGAGAGAAAUUUUCCUCUCAAAUACUAUCAAAGAAUGUUUGCUCCGAUGAAUGCUCUUGGGUGGAAUGGCUUCUGAUCUCUUCCAAAGAAUGUCUACUCGAAACUAGUAAGACUAUUUUAUUGCAAUUUGGAAGUAGGGACCCUAGAUAAUAUAGAGUAUUCGAUUGACUCUAAAGUUAGAGGGAAAACCAUAGUCUUGACUCCCACAAUCCUUUCUGAAAUUACCAGCAUUGCAAACGAGGGAGAAUUUGUGUUCAUAAGUAAACCAUCCCAACUCAAGAGAUAUGUGAACGAGAAAACUAUUUACGAUGUGAUUGCUGGAGAGAAUGUAGUCAAGGUCACUGACACGAUUCACUUGAAAAAGGAAUUUAGGCUCUUUCAUAGAUAUAUAGCACACAAUAUCAUCCCCAAAGCCGGACACUUUAACCAAGUAACCACCAUGGAUGCGUUUAUCAUCUAUAAAGUCGCAAUAGAUGAGCCACUGAACUUGAAUUACAUAAUUCUUAAAGAAAUGGCUGACGUUAGAAAUCACAACACUCGGGCCUUUCCUUACGGUGCUUUUCUCACCAAAGUUUUUAAUCAUUUCAAUGUCAAUCUAAAAGAUAUAAGGAUUCAAGAGAUGAGCAAAGGGUUUUCUAUGAACACUAUUAAGCAAGGCAUAUACUUCGACUCCAAUAGAGAAGAAAGGGAGGAAGAAAGAAUUUACAUGGACAUUGAGGAAAAUCUUGCUAUAGUUCAGAUUAAGGGAGAGACGAAUGCGGGGUAGGAACUGACCCCAUCAAUUUAGAGCAAGAAAAAAAUGUGGGUAUGCAGUGGACACAGUAGAUGAAGAAAUUAAUAGGGGGUCAAUAUGGGAACAACAUAUCCUACACAUAGGGCAUAUACUACACAUGGAGCAUAUCCGACUCAAGAGGGACCUUCACAUCAAGGGCCACCGGAUUGGUUCCUUGAAUACUUUGGGAGAUUAGAUAAAUCCUUGGGAGAAAUUAGGCACAAACAAGCUGAAAUCAUUCAAAAUCAAUAAUGUCAAGACGAAUGCAUGGGUUGUCUUGAAAGUGCCUACUAUAGGAUACGACACGACGUGGAUAGGAUUAUGAAUUUGUAUGUAGAGCAAGGUUCAAGAGUUGAUCAGAUUGGAAAUCGGUGUGAAUCCAUACAAGAAGAACAAUCACAACAAUUUUCUAACAUUCAAGAUUAGUUGGCAGGCAUAUGGAACACUAUCGACUCUCAUCCACUAUACCCGCCUCCUCUAUUGUAUGAUCCUUUCAUUCCUCCUCCUCCAUUUCCAACUUAUGCAUCGGGUGAAGCAUCUUUUUGUCCUCUUAUCUAUCAAGAUCCCCUUUUUUGAUGAUGCCCAAAGGGGGAGAAGCAUUAGGUUGUUUUGAGGUUUUGGAUUUUUAUGUAUUUUGGUAUUUUUGGAUAAUUAUGUUUGGAUGUUUAUGUUUUGGAUAAUUAUGGUGUUGAUUAGCUUUGUUAUAUGUCAAUUGUUUUUAGAUGAAGAUGCUUGAUGCUAUAAAUACAUGCAAAUAUGAUGGGCUGGUUAUAGAUGCAUAAGAUUUAUGACUAAACAUCCAAUAUGAUCAGUAUACACAUAACGUUGGGGGGAGCCCUCAAUUAUUUCAAAACGGUAUGUCUUGAACUAGGGGAAAGUUCAAAUUUAAUUUCUAAAAGUUAUUUUUAAAAACAAAACAAAUUGUGUCAUAAUCAAAAAAGGGAGAUUGUUUGAAAUAAAAAUUUGUUAUCUUUGAUGAGUACAUCUAAUACUAAAAAUCUUCAAAAACAUAAAGUUAGUUCUUCAAAUAAAUUCAUUAACAAAGUUUUGAAAUGACUUACCAAUCAUGAGAAAUGUUACUAAAACUAUAAUAACAACUUAAAAGAUGAACCAGUGAACUAUCAAAAUAUGAGAAGAACAAACAAGCUCACUGGAAACUAGUAUAAAUUCGACGACACCCCCCUGUAGAAGGCACGUGUGCCACAACCAAAAAUUUGAAGAAGUGCAACCGACGUUCAGGCAUCCGAGUACUAGACAAAAGUUUCAACGCUUGAAUUGAAAAUUAGAGCAAACAAAAGUAGGUAGGUUGCAUGAACUUUGGAAGCAAAAAAUAGGAUGAAAGUUGACCGAAGUUGAAGUUAAUCGAGAGAAAGUAAGCAACCAAAUUUGGGAAUCAAAAUAGGGCAGUUAGCUUAGUCACUAGAAUAAUAGUGCAUACUCGACCAAAGUUAAGUUCGGUCGCGUGAAGUCAGUGAUCGAAGUUUUUGAAAUUCAAACUGCACGUCAAAGUCACAGAUCCAACGGCCCAGAUCAAAUCAGAACGGCUAGAAUAGUGCAUUUAAUGCUGCAAUGUCACUAUUCCUACUGGGGAUUUUAAAAACAACUCAAGGGGUUGUUGUAGAGGCAUUGAAGUGAUCCAAAUUUAUCGGCUUGACUAGCUGACUAGGGUUCAGUAAAAUGGCUAUAACUUCUUUGUUAUUUGGAAUUUUUGCACACCGUUUAUUGCGUUGAAAACUAGACUUUUGGGGCUACAAUUUAGGAUCAAGAAUUUAUUUAUUUGGACUUUUUUAGUUGGAUAUAAUACCAUUUUAAAUUGACCUAACUUGACUACAUAAUUAUAUAAACUUUAUUUUGACAGUGGCUUAUUCUUUUGGUCAUAACUUCUUCAAUACUUUGAGUUUGGUCAUGAUUUAAGUUCCAUUGGAAAGAUAACUUCCGGGGCUUGAUAUAGACUCAAAAUUUUUGGUAUUUGGAUUUUUUAAGGCAUAGAUAAUUCAAUUUGAAAUCGGCUCUGUUUCUUACAAAUUUUCCUUCAACCUAUUUCUUAGUCAUUCCUUAAUCAAUAAACUUGUUGUCACGCCUCGCAACCCGGCCUAUGUGAAUCGUGGGCCUGUGAUUACCAGUGGCUGGCCCGCCAAGGCCUACUGAUCUUUAACCUGUGCAUAUUCAUUUAAAAUGCUAUAAUAUUUUUUUUGCAAAAACGCCAUAACUGAAAAUAAUAAAGUAUCACGUCCAUACCGUACACAGAGCUGUGCCUAAGUUCAACUAUUUACAUACUUACCAGAGCCAAUAUAAUUACAUAACAGGUAAUCUAAUCUGUCUACAAAACAUCAUAAGGCUCUUAGGCCACAACUACAUCUGCUUGACUUCUUCGUUCUAUGGCUCUUCUGAUUGGCUUUCUGAAAAUAGUUUUCUAAAAUCAUAAGCUGAAAGUUUAGUGAAUACCAUCAUAUGCAUGAACAUAAAUAAUAUCGGUGAUCAUUUGCAUAUCUACAUAACAUUAUGAAACUGUGAGCAUAUCAUGGUGUCUGUCUGAAUCUGAACUUUCAUAAACUGGUGGCUCACAUAGCUUGUUUGAAACUGUGAUUUCUAAACAUAGAUGUCAAUAACUAAAAAUGUAACAACUCGGCUAAACUGGACGCCGAAUGUCAGGUGGCUCUUUAGGCCAGGAUCCUCUAUCAUACCGGAUGGUCUUUUCACUCCCCAUCCAUUUGAGGAUUUCCUGGCUUUAUGUCCCGCCAUAGAGGACCCGAGUGUCAACUAGGUCAUACAUACUUGAACAUACUUUUCUUUUCAUUGAAAUCAUGUAUCCCAUGGAUGUCAGUACAUAAUAAACAUAUUUCUAUACAUUUAAAAGGCAUGAUAUUCCAUAUCUAUCAAUCGUUUGAAUGCACUGAAAGUAUGGAAAAAUUAUGUUGUAUAUACAUAGUAUGCUCCGAAACGUUUAGAACAUACAUAGAUUUUGUUCAUAGCAUGUGUUACUCACCUGAGUUUCCUUGAUUAGCUCUAACACUUGAACGCUCCAACAAUUAAGGUUAAGGCACGUCAUUACUAGCUUUAAUAAUAACUAAUUAACAUAACAUUACUCUUGCUUAACUUAGAUAAGUUCUCUUCAUAGGUCCACCCUCUCGGUCAUGCACCUACAGUCCCUAAGGGGUAAGUUAAGGGAUCUAAUUUGCUUUGAUAACUAAUUAGUUUUAAGUGAACAGGGUCAAAACUGUCUGGAAUUUGUCUUGCGUUCGAAUGCUGGUUUUGGAAUUCGGAUGCGACGGUUAACUGUUGGUCUCACCUGUUCGAUGUCCUAAAAUGUAACUAAAGGUGGGGAGUUUGAAUGCUAAGGCUAAAAGUCUGACAUUUCGAACGCUGUUCUUGGGCGUCGGAGCUCCCUGCUGGACCAGUAGAAACAAUAGCUGGGUCUUGCAAGUUUUUAUCAAAAACUCAAUCAACUAACUUAAAUCUUUCUAAACUCUGAGGUUAUAAUAUACCACUCAAGACACCAUUAUACUUAAAAUGGACCUUAUUUGAAACCUAACUUGUAAUCUAAGCUUGAUCAAAAUAAACCCUAACUAUACAUACAUAUUAAACACAUGGAUUGUGAGCUUUUAUAGCUCUUCCAAAAGCUUCCUUGAGCUCAAAAAGGGCUUCUGGCCUCUUUUAGCUUUUAUCUGAGCUCAAAUGGUCUCCUCCCCUCUCUCUUCUUCUUCUCUUUUUAAAUUAUUUCCUUUCCUACUACUCUCUCUCUCUUGUGUGGGUUGUGCGUAUGUUGUGUGGUGGAGGAAGUGUGAUAUAUGGAUAUAUAUUUUUGCUGAGACACAUGAGAAAUUAUCCCAUGUGACUCCCCCAUCGUAAAUCUGGUGUUCCCUUUUUAUUUUUUCAUUUUUACUGUUGGCGUUUGGACGCUCCUUGUAGUGUUUGUGUAACACCCCGAAUCCGUAAAUUCCAUAAAUCGUAUGGAUUAUGAUGUGUACGUUAAUUAAAGCGAAGUAUUAGGGAUUUAAGAGUAAAAUAGACCAAAUACUAAGUUUUAGAUAAAUUCACAACUUUAAGACGUUAAGUUUUUGGCCCAUUUUCCUCUUGAAUCCGAACGCCCAUAUGGGGUUCGACGCUAAGGCCAAAAAUAACAAAUUAAGUCUCGCAUGUUUUCGAACUGUAGGCAAGAGUGUUCGAACACUCAGUGUCCAAAAAUCCUUCUUAGCUCCGAAUCUUAAAGGGACGUUCGCAAUGGCAGCAUUAAAAAUGAAAACUAGAAAGAACAAUACUAGUUUUCUAAAAUGGUGUAGUCACAUAGGAUAAUUUCCCAUGUGUCUCAGUAUUAUACAUACAAUCAUACACUUUUUCCACCACACGGCGCAGAGAGAGGAUGAGAAGAAGAAGAAAGGAGAGGAAGCUUUUAACGCUGCAUUCAAGCUAGGAGGAAGCCAUUAUUGGGCUUGAAAAAUAUUGGUAACCAAAAACCCAUAUAUUUAUGUAUUUGUAUAGUUAGGGUUUUAACUUGGUUCCAAAAUAGAUCUAGUAUGCUAGGAUCGAUAUGGUAGAAAUUUUACGUAUAAUAGUCUCUAAGGUGUUUUGAGUUUAUAUAAGUCUCAAAAAGAUUGGAGUUGAUUUGGUUUUAGUUUUGGUAGAAAUUGUAAGUUUUAUUUCUAUUCAUGUUGCAAACGGCAGGAGCGUUCGAACGCUUAAGAACCAGUGUCCGAACGGUCCAGUGUCGAUGCCAGCUUAGGCCUUGAACUUGGAGUUCGAACGCCUAGGCCAUUUUAGCAGAUUGGGCCUUUUUCAUUAGAACAUUUAAAUUGUUGCCCAAAUUAUUGUAGAGUUUUUUUGAUCGACCUUAUAGAGACUUAGGCCUGUUUAAGGAGUCCUUUGACCUAAAAUUUGAAUACCUAAAUGUAGUCCAGAGUUUUAUUCGUUAAUUUGAGUAUAGUUUUGACGUUUCCUUACUAACUUGUAGGGACACAGCAGUUUAGCAUCUAGCCAAGAACCCGAGGUGAGUAAUACGAUGCCAUGACAAAAUUAUGUAUUUUCAAAAUGGUUUUCAUCACAUUUAUGUAUAUCAAAGAUUUUUCAUGCUUUCAAGCAUUAACGAUAUGUUUCAAUACAAAUGUCAUGUCUUCAUGUAUAUUAUGUCUAUUAUGUACGAAAUAAACCCAUGAUUUUGCUUUCAUGUGAAACGAUAUGUUCAAAAGUAUAUGCAUGUCCCUCGGAUCCACUCGGUGUCCCCCUGUUGCUGGGACCCUUAAUCUAACCUAAUGGUCCUAGAAGUAAAUGAGGGGACAUGAAAUAAUCAUUUACAGGGAUAUCUCGCCUCAAGAGCCAUUCGACCUAAUAUGGUCCCAUGUAUGUUAUGUUAAUGGCGAGUUGUUACGUUUUUCAUGAUACUGCUAUGUAUGUUUAUGGAAAACAAGUGACACCAUGUUUAUGCAAGAUCAGUUUAUGAACUGAUGUCUCAAGAAAACUAGGUUAUGCUAAUUGUUUCCUACACGUAGAUUAAUGUAUGAAUGAAAAUACUCCAUGGUAUUUUAGCGUUCAUGCAUCUGUUUGUUAUUAACUAAGUUUUAGCUUACGUUUUUGAAAACUUUUUAGGAAGCCAAAGCAAAGAACCGUAAAAAGGAUGUUGAAGCG
RNAcentral lists this long non-coding RNA (6959 nucleotides) under Actinidia chinensis (golden kiwifruit). RNAcentral's name for it is "long non-coding RNA (ACHI_LNC000686)". The record is from RNAcentral. Lineage: Eukaryota; Viridiplantae; Streptophyta; Magnoliopsida; Ericales; Actinidiaceae.